RNAcentral lists this ribosomal RNA (307 nucleotides) under uncultured bacterium. Its description in RNAcentral is "bacterial SSU rRNA". It matches the Rfam family "Bacterial small subunit ribosomal RNA", at positions 29 to 314 of the family's 1533-position model. The record is from RNAcentral.
AACGAACGCUGGCGGCGUGCCUAACACAUGCAAGUCGAGCGAGAAAGGGGGAGCAAUCCCCUCGAGUACAGCGGCGCACGGGUGAGUAACACGUAGGUGAUCUCCCCUCCGAGCCCGGAAUAACCUACCGAAAGGUGGGCUAAUACCGGAUAUGACCACGGGAGUUUCGGUCUCCUGUGGUGAAAGAUGGCCUCUACCUGUAAGCUAUCACUCAAGGAUGAGCCUGCGUGCCAUUAGCUAGUUGGUGAGGUAAUGGCUCACCAAGGCUAUGAUGGCUAGCUGGUCUGAGAGGAUGGCCAGCCACACU